AACCUUGGUAAGUCGCCGACGCCAACCCGACAAGGACGGCAGGCGCCUAGGGUGGGGGGGUAACUGGAGGCG
Molecule: ribosomal RNA, 72 nt
Filed under: uncultured bacterium
Lineage: Bacteria
Description: partial 16S ribosomal RNA
Source: RNAcentral